Molecule: ribosomal RNA, 465 nt
Filed under: Vreelandella stevensii
Lineage: Bacteria; Pseudomonadati; Pseudomonadota; Gammaproteobacteria; Oceanospirillales; Halomonadaceae
Description: partial 16S ribosomal RNA
Rfam family: Bacterial small subunit ribosomal RNA
Source: RNAcentral
CCUACGGGAGGCUGCAGUGGGGAAUAUUGGACAAUGGGGGGAACCCUGAUCCAGCCAUGCCGCGUGUGUGAAGAAGGCCCUCGGGUUGUAAAGCACUUUCAGUGAGGAAGAACGCCUGGUGGUUAAUACCCAUCAGGAAAGACAUCACUCACAGAAGAAGCACCGGCUGACUCCGUGCCAGCAGCCGCGGUAAUACGGAGGGUGCGAGCGUUAAUCGGAAUUACUGGGCGUAAAGCGCGCGUAGGUGGCUUGAUAAGCCGGUUGUGAAAGCCCCGGGCUCAACCUGGGAACGGCAUCCGGAACUGUCAAGCUAGAGUGCAGGAGAGGAAGGUAGAAUUCCCGGUGUAGCGGUGAAAUGCGUAGAGAUCGGGAGGAAUACCAGUGGCGAAGGCGGCCUUCUGGACUGACACUGACACUGAGGUGCGAAAGCGUGGGUAGCAAACAGGAUUAGAUACCCCAGUAGUC